GAUGAACGCUGGCUACAGGCUUAACACAUGCAAGUCGAGGGGAAACGCCGGGGAAGCUUGCUUCCCCGGGCGUCGACCGGCGCACGGGUGAGUAACGCGUAUCCAACCUGCCUCUGACUGAGGGAUAACCCGUCGAAAGUCGGCCUAAUACCUCAUGGUAUCGUCUGCGGGCAUCCAACGACGAUUAAAGAUUUCAUCGGUCAGGGAUGGGGAUGCGUCUGAUUAGCUUGUUGGCGGGGUAACGGCCCACCAAGGCUACGAUCAGUAGGGGUUCUGAGAGGAAGGUCCCCCACAUUGGAACUGAGACACGGUCCAAACUCCUACGGGAGGCAGCAGUGAGGAAUAUUGGUCAAUGGGCGAGAGCCUGAACCAGCCAAGUAGCGUGCAGGAAGACGGCCCUAUGGGUUGUAAACUGCUUUUAUGCGGGGAUAAAGUGAGGGACGUGUCCCUCAUUGCAGGUACCGCAUGAAUAAGGGCCGGCUAAUUCCGUG
RNAcentral lists this ribosomal RNA (491 nucleotides) under uncultured bacterium. Its description in RNAcentral is "partial 16S ribosomal RNA". It matches the Rfam family "Bacterial small subunit ribosomal RNA", at positions 28 to 507 of the family's 1533-position model. The record is from RNAcentral.